RNAcentral lists this ribosomal RNA (253 nucleotides) under uncultured bacterium. RNAcentral describes it as "partial 16S ribosomal RNA". It matches the Rfam family "Bacterial small subunit ribosomal RNA", at positions 524 to 776 of the family's 1533-position model. The record is from RNAcentral.
UACGGAGGGUGCAAGCGUUAUCCGGAUUCACUGGGUUUAAAGGGUGCGUAGGAGGGCAGGUAAGUCAGUGGUGAAAUCUCCGAGCUUAACUUGGAAACUGCCGUUGAUACUAUCUGUCUUGAAUCCCGUGGAGAUGAGCGGAACAUGUCAUGUAGCGGUGAAAUGCUUAGAUAUGACAUAGAACACCAAUUGCGAAGGCAGCUCGUUACACGAAGAUUGACUCUGAGGCACGAAAGCGUGGGGAUCAAACAGG